This 28-nucleotide non-coding RNA is filed under the name Rattus norvegicus (Norway rat). Lineage: Eukaryota; Metazoa; Chordata; Mammalia; Rodentia; Muridae. The record is from RNAcentral.
UNCUGUUUCAUAAGCCAUGGACUCUGUA